RNAcentral lists this ribosomal RNA (447 nucleotides) under uncultured bacterium. RNAcentral's name for it is "bacterial SSU rRNA". It matches the Rfam family "Bacterial small subunit ribosomal RNA", at positions 8 to 459 of the family's 1533-position model. The record is from RNAcentral.
AGAGUUUGAUCCUGGCUCAGAUUGAACGCUGGCGGCAUGCCUUACACAUGCAAGUCGAACGGCAGCGGACCUUCGGGUGCCGGCGAGUGGCGAACGGGUGAGUAAUGUAUCGGAACGUACCUUUCAGUGGGGGAUAACGUAGCGAAAGUUACGCUAAUACCGCAUAUUCUGUGAGCAGGAAAGCAGGGGAUCGCAAGACCUUGCGCUGAUUGAGCGGCCGAUAUCAGAUUAGCUAGUUGGUGAGGUAAAGGCUCACCAAGGCGACGAUCUGUAGCGGGUCUGAGAGGAUGAUCCGCCACACUGGAACUGAGACACGGUCCAGACUCCUACGGGAGGCAGCAGUGGGGAAUUUUGGACAAUGGGGGCAACCCUGAUCCAGCCAUGCCGCGUGAGUGAAGAAGGCCUUCGGGUUGUAAAGCUCUUUCGGCCGGGAAGAAAUCGCAUGGG